RNAcentral lists this ribosomal RNA (253 nucleotides) under uncultured bacterium. RNAcentral's name for it is "partial 16S ribosomal RNA". It matches the Rfam family "Bacterial small subunit ribosomal RNA", at positions 524 to 776 of the family's 1533-position model. The record is from RNAcentral.
UACGAAGGGGGCUAGCGUUGCUCGGAAUCACUGGGCGUAAAGCGCACGUAGGCGGAUUGCUAAGUCAGGGGUGAAAUCCUGGAGCUCAACUCCAGAACUGCCUUUGAUACUGAGGAUCUUGAGUUCGGGAGAGGUAAGUGGAACUGCGAGUGUAGAGGUGAAAUUCGUAGAUAUUCGGAAGAACACCAGUGGCGAAGGCGGCUCACUGGACCGGUAUUGACGCUGAGGUGCGAAAGCGUGGGGAGCAAACAGG